RNAcentral lists this long non-coding RNA (1223 nucleotides) under Strigops habroptila (Kakapo). RNAcentral's name for it is "lncRNA (ENSSHBG00005014674.1)". Lineage: Eukaryota; Metazoa; Chordata; Aves; Psittaciformes; Psittacidae. The record is from RNAcentral.
GUCCAAAAAGGGGUUAGGAAACAAAGAAACAGUUCUCAAACACAAAAAUUGUUAUUUAAAAGAGAGGGACAGUCUUUUACUGUAUGCAGUGGGUAGGACAGGGCUUAAACUGAAGCCACAGAGAUUGAAGUGAAUUGGGAGCCUGUUGGAGAAAAUGCCUCGUAGGAGUGAUACAGGAUCAGCUCUUGCCUUGAAUUUUCCAACCCUGUUUUUCUGUGAUCCUGAUUAUCAAAAAAAGGGAAUGUAUAACAUGAAAUCUGCUUAACUGGUCACUUUACAAGUAUUUACACAUGUGUGAGUAUGUGCUUAGUUGUAGAAUCAUAGAAUCAUAGAAUGGUUUGGCUUGGAAAGGAUGUUAAAGCUCACCCAGUUCCACGGGCAGGGACACCUUCCACUAGAGCAGGUUGCUCCAAGCCCCUGUGUCCAACCUGGCCUUGAACACUGCCAGGGAUGGGGCAGCCACAGCUUCUCUGGGCACCCUGUGCCAGCGCCUCAGCACCCUCACAGGGAAGAGCUUCUGCCUCAGAGCUCAUCUCAGUCUCCCCUCUGGCAGGUUAAAGCCAUUCCCCUUGUCCUGUCCCUACAGGCCCUUGUAAAAAGCCUCUCUCCAGAUUCCUUGUAGCACGUAGGUAAAGCUACUCAGAGAGAUGAGAUACUACUGAGCUGCAUAAUCAAAACCCCCAAAAGUAUCUCCAGAAGGUGCCUGUUUCAGGUGCUGUUUGUAAAAGCAGUUUCCCUCGAGCUGUGGAUCUCGGCUGCUUUUCUCUCUCCGUUAUGUACUGUGUGAGCCUCUUGCGGUGAAAGAAAUUCCUUCCUCAAAACGACUUUCCUGUGAGUGGAAGUACCAGGAAUCUGAUUUAGGGUUUUGUCACAUGCUUCUUGGUAUAGAUAGAUAGAUAUAAACACGUGAGCAUGUAUAGUAAUGUAUGUGCUGGCAUGUAAGCCAACCGCUAACAGAUGAGGGUCAGGAAGAAACUUCUCUCCUGGGCAUGUUAAUUCAUAACAGGCUACUAUACAGUUUCUCCUACUUUUAUCUCCAGCAUCUGAUACCAGCCAGUGCUGGAGACAGGAUACUGGUUGAACCACUGGUCUCAACUAGUCUGGCUUUUUCUCUGUUUGAUAUUUUAAUUUCAUUUAUCACAGUCUGUAGAAUGAUGUAGAGUGAAGCACGCAUUGCAUUUCUAUGAAUAAAGACUCCGAAAUAAAUAACAUGCCUCUACCAC